RNAcentral lists this long non-coding RNA (385 nucleotides) under Homo sapiens (human). RNAcentral's name for it is "non-protein coding MEG9:5". The record is from RNAcentral. Lineage: Eukaryota; Metazoa; Chordata; Mammalia; Primates; Hominidae.
GAGCGGCAGGACCUGCCAAGGCCUGGGGGAGCCCGCCAGCCUGCUGAGUUCUACUGUACAAACAGUUGGGGAGGGGGCGCUGUCUCUGUUAACUUGAAAUUCCCCGAUCAGUAAACAUGCCAAUUUAAAGUGUAAUUAACUCAGGCCGGAAAAAAUUCAGAUUUGGACUGCUUUUCACAGUUGAGCGGCUGCUCUGCCUGGGAUAAACACAUUUCAAGAGUCUCAGUCCCCGCUUUGCCACCAUCUCCUCCUCUGAUCUCCUUUCCUGCUUCAAAAGACUCCAGAAUCUUCUCGGUUCUCAGAGAAGGCUGAAUCCACCUAUGACCUAGUGGGAGCACCCUGUGCCGAAACUGUUUACCUUCUGGUCCCCGGAGCCAUGGGUCAC